AUCUGGCACUUUCUCCAUAGAUACUUUGAUAUCAGUGGUUUCAUUAACGUCUUCUUCCUCCUUUUCAGGUAAGCCUUCUAAAUUUGCAUUUUCAGGCUCUUCAUCUUCUUUUUCUCUUGCAAAUCCAAUUGGAACUGAUUCCUUUGGGCCUGGUAUUAUUACCUGAGAUACCUUGAGAUCAGUGAUUUCAUUGGCAGGAGCUUCUUGACUGUCUCCUUGUUCUUUCUCCAAUUCUUUUACAGGUACUUCAUGCUCCUUCGUGCUCACUACUUCAGGCCCUUGAGCUUCUCCUGGUUCCUCUAUAGCUCCUUUCGCUGGUACGUCCUCUAAUUUUAUUGGAACCCCAUUCUCUUCAACUACUGAUUCGGAUUCUUCCAUUUUUUCUUCUUCCUCUUCUUCUUCUUCUUCUUCUUCUUUUUCUUCUUCUUCUUCUUCUUCAGCUUUUAAUUCCUCUAUUUCGAGGCCUGUUAUCUCCCCAGGCCUGGUCUUAGGCAUGUAUACAUGAAGGAUCCCUUCCUCUUCCUCAAAUGUGG
RNAcentral lists this long non-coding RNA (533 nucleotides) under Amborella trichopoda. RNAcentral describes it as "long non-coding RNA (ATRI_LNC004114)". Lineage: Eukaryota; Viridiplantae; Streptophyta; Magnoliopsida; Amborellales; Amborellaceae. The record is from RNAcentral.